UUCUUACUUGCGGUGUACAUGUUUUGGUAUGAAUAGUAAAUAUGUACAACCGUGAGUGGAGACU
Molecule: microRNA precursor, 64 nt
Filed under: Tribolium castaneum (red flour beetle)
Lineage: Eukaryota; Metazoa; Arthropoda; Insecta; Coleoptera; Tenebrionidae
Description: Tca-Mir-3811-P4_pre stem-loop
Source: RNAcentral